GUCUUCUUUCUGUGUCUGGACCUUUAUAUCCUUAAGGCUCAGCCUCUGAUGUGGGACAGGGAGACAUACACACCUCCAAGGCAGCUGGAAGAAGCCAUGCAGGGCCUUGAGUGUAUCAUUUGGGAGAGCUGACAGGUCAGUCAAAGCUGCACCUUGCAAAAUAAGACCCACCUCUUCACGAGAGAGGACGUUGCUGCUCCGGUACUGCACAAACUAGCCCAGAAGAAAAGCCCCAAAUGUCCGUAAUUAGAGGAGAUGCCGUUUCUGUGCAUUGCUGUGCCCAGCACUGCGCGGGGAACAUCAUUCUAAAGUCUAGGGUCCUGCUUUUAGGCUCUGUACUGGUGAGAAUGGGCGGGGCUGUCUCACAGGAGAACAGGGCAAAUGAGGUAGGCUGCAGUCCUGGGAGAGCUGGCCUCGGUGACUCCUGCACAUCAAGCUCCCUCCUCCAGCCUUGUACUGCAAACUCCUGGCCAAGAUGAACUGAUGUGUGGUUCCUGUCGCCUCCCUGAUGUGCUCUUGACCCUCCUACACUCACCUCUCUUCCUAGACUUCUGCCUCCUUCUGCCUACGGAUCCUUUGAGCUUCGGCUGAAACAUCACCUACUCUUCACAAAAGCAAUUACUGUUCUCUGCGUUUUCACCUCUGGUUUGUCUGUGGGGGAGCUUCCCGGUCACCCCUGAGCUUGUUCCUUUGUUCUUUAUUCAACAAGAAUUAUUAUGUGCCAAAUACUCUACUAUUCAAAAUACCAAACUCAGUUAUGCA
This is a long non-coding RNA of Peromyscus leucopus (white-footed mouse), 762 nucleotides long. RefSeq lists it as uncharacterized. The record is from RefSeq and is a predicted model, not a curated record. NCBI's taxonomy places the organism in Eukaryota, Metazoa, Chordata, Mammalia, Rodentia, Cricetidae. The transcript has 2 exons.